Molecule: ribosomal RNA, 541 nt
Filed under: uncultured Glomeromycotina
Lineage: Eukaryota; Fungi; Glomeromycota
Description: SSU rRNA
Rfam family: Eukaryotic small subunit ribosomal RNA
Source: RNAcentral
GGAAGUCUGGUGCCAGCAGCCGCGGUAAUUCCAGCUCCAAUAGCGUAUAUUAAAGUUGUUGCAGUUAAAAAGCUCGUAGUUGAAUUUCGGGAUCAGAUUGUCGGUCGUGCCUCGGUACGCACUGGCAUUAUUGGUUCCUACCUUCUGAAGAACCGCGAUGUCAUUAAUUUGGUGUCGUGGGGAAUCAGGACUGUUACUUUGAAAAAAUUAGAGUGUUUAAAGCAGGCGCACGCUUGAAUACAUUAGCAUGGAAUAAUGAAAUAGGACGUUUGAUUCUAUUUUGUUGGUUUCUAGGAUCGACGUAAUGAUUAAUAGGGAUAGUUGGGGGCAUUAGUAUUCAAUUGUCAGAGGUGAAAUUCUUGGAUUUAUUGAAGACUAACUACUGCGAAAGCAUUUGCCAAGGAUGUUUUCAUUAAUCAAGAACGAAAGUUAGGGGAUCGAAGACGAUCAGAUACCGUCGUAGUCUUAACCAUAAACUAUGCCGACUAGGGAUCGGAUGAUGUUAAUUUUAUAAUGACUCAUUCGGCGCCUUACGGGAAAC